UUAGACAAAAUUUUGAAAUCAUAUGAAAUUUUCCUAGGCUGCUUUUUUUAGGAGCAGAAACAAAGAAAGAAAAGCUUCCUUUCCAAAUCCCCUUUUUGUGUUUUAUAAUUAUAUCAGUAAUUUCAGACCCCAUUUCAUUAUUUUUCAAUGUGUCAUCAUUAUAUAUAUAUUUAUAUAUAUAUCUAUAUAUUUUGGCUCUGAAAGAAGAAGUACUACAACAAAAACUCACAAGAGGGUAAGCUUAUAUUGAUCAUUGGAAUAAUGAGUUUUUCUCAGGGACAGUACUUAACAUUAUUGGAGGUGCUUGAUGAAUAUUAUUGUUAUUAUUAUUAUUCAUGAUCAUGAUCUUAUUAGUAUGAUCAUGUUGAUGAUGAUGAUGAGGAUGAUGAUGAAGUAGUGGUGGUGGUGUUUGAUUAUUAUUAUUAUUGUUAUUGAAGGGCUUAUGGGUUCUUGGAUCUAUACCUUGAUUGAUUAGCUUCUUGCUAAGUUAUGUAUUACCGGUUGCCAAGAAGACGAUGAAGACGGAGUAUGAGAUCUUCUUCAUCGGGUUGGAUAUGGCCACGUUUUACAGAUGGACGGAGAUAGUUCAUCCACCGGAGACGGCAGCUCUUUCCACAUCUGAGUAAGCCAGCUCUCUUGGGAAGAGUCCUCCACCGUCCUUCUCCUUCUUUUCUUAUAAAUUCACACAAAACUUCAUCUUCCUCCGCCGUCCACGGCCCUCUCUUUAUCCCAACUUUGCUACAACACGGUGUCGUUUUACUACCACCACCACUACUACUACUACCUCUUCUCAUUUCUUCUAUAUGGGUUUGGUUUUUGGUUUUUGGUUUUUGGAUAUCCCAAUUUGAGAUUUGUGUGUGUUGUUUUUCUUAUAGGUUAAGGUUUUUUUAUUUUUUAUUUAUGGAUAUUAAAAUGUUUGUUCUUUGUUUUUUGGUGUGCGUGAGUGUCACGCGCUCAUGAUAAAUUAUUGUUCCUUUUUUUUGGACCUAA
Cannabis sativa is the source of this 990-nucleotide long non-coding RNA. RefSeq lists it as uncharacterized. NCBI's taxonomy places the organism in Eukaryota, Viridiplantae, Streptophyta, Magnoliopsida, Rosales, Cannabaceae. The transcript has 3 exons. The record is from RefSeq and is a predicted model, not a curated record.